This 781-nucleotide long non-coding RNA is filed under the name Rattus norvegicus (Norway rat). Its description in RNAcentral is "long non-coding RNA NONRATT021484". The record is from RNAcentral. Lineage: Eukaryota; Metazoa; Chordata; Mammalia; Rodentia; Muridae.
GGAGCUGGAGAGAUGGUUCAGUGGUUAAGAACGCUGACUGCUCUUCCAGAGGUCCUAAGUUCAAUUCCCAGCAACCACAUGGUGGCUCACAACCAUCUGUAAUGGGAUCCAAUGCCCUCUUCUGGUGUGUCUGAAGACAGGGUCUGUGUACUCAAAUAAAUAAAUAAAUAGAUAGAUAGAUAAAUAGAUAAAUAAAUAAGUCUUAAGAAGGUGCAGUGACUCCCUUGCCAAUCAAACCACCUUUAUCUGUGCUGGCAGAUGGAUGGUUCUGAGUCAGAGCCUUAGCUAUGCAAGACUGGACCAUGGGAGAAGCCAGAUGUGGAGUAUCCACCCACAAACACAGCAUUCUUGUGGUGAGAUGGGAAGCAGAGAAGAAGAGCCUGAAAGUUCUUGGACCAAAUAGCCUCGGAUAUGUAGCACAGCAGCAGACAUCAAGAGGCCCUGCAUCAACAAAGAAUAUUACGUCCCCUCAAUGUCUCGGUUUCGUCAACCUAUCGGAACUGUGCCAGGAAUGCCUGUCUUAGUUCUGCGCUGCGCACCAUUCCUUUUAGACAUAUUCAGACAUCAGUUGUUUCCUCUGCUCCAAGGCUUGUCAAGUCUGUCGGACACCUGGCAUAUGGGCACACGGCAUCAGUCCUUAAUAGAGUGGCCACAUUGGUUCCCAGUGUCUUGAAGCCUCCGGUCAGAGCUCUGACGUACUGCAGUGCACGGAAAGGAAAGAGAAAGACAGUGAAGUCGGUUGUGCAUCGCUUCCUCCGACUUCACUCUGGCCUUUGGCUAA